UAAUACAAGCUUUAUAUUACAAGCCAGGGGCCUCGAGGGCUCGAAUACAUAAGCUCGAAUACACAAGAGUCAGUGGAAGCAACAAUAUCUGAGUAUAGACAUAAGUUAGACAAGUUUGCCUUAAGAAGGAUAGCACAAAAGUAACAACGAUCGAAAAGGCAAGGCCUCCUGCCUGGGAGCCUCCUAACUACUCCUAGUCGUCUGCGGUCUUCACGUAGUAGUAGGCAUACUCCGGGUAGUAGUAGUCAUCAGUGGCAUCGUCUGGCUCCUGAGAUCAAUCAUCUGGUCGCGACAAUCGGGUAUGGGGGAAAAAGAAGUAGCAAAGCAACCGUGAGUACUCAUCGAAAGUACUCGCAAGACUUACAUCAGAACUAACUAAGUAUGCAUCUGUAUCAAAGGAAAUGGGCUGCAUCUGUGGGCUAAACUGCAGAAUGCCGGAAGAGAAGGGAAAAGCCUAGCCUAUUGAAGACUAGCAUCUUGCAGCAUAUAGAAGAGUACAGAUCAACAUAAUGUAAAGUAGGUAGUGUUAUCAACCUCGACCAGAGAUCCUUUCUCGACUCCAUGCGAGAAAGCAAUCCCAGAGUCAUACUAUCCAUUUCUCAUCACAAUCAAUUCCUCAUCACCAUCCAUUUCUCAUAUCCAUUUCUCAUCACAAGUAUCUAGUUCUAGUUGUAUCGAUCGGGAUACAACUCCAAGUGUCCGUUACCGUAGGACAGGCUAUCGAUAUAUGUUUUCUUCCCUGCAGGGGUGCACCAGUUUACCCACCACGCUCGAUUAACUCCGGCCGGACACACUUUCCUAGGUCAUGCCCGACCUCGGCCAAACAAUACGCCGCAACCCGACCUAGGAUUAAUAGAGAGGCCAGCACGCCGGACUAAACCUAUGCCCCCAGGGGUCAUGGGCCAUCUCUCCGAAAACUCCUGCAUGUUGUGUACGCGACUGGUGAGCAGGCCUAGCUACCUCCUUCAACAAGGCAGGAGCUUAUGCAGUCCAACCCAGCGCGCGCCGCUCAGUCGCUGACGUCUAUUAAGCUUCCGCUGAUGUAUACGACGCAGAACGCCCAUACUAUGCCCACGUGAUGGUUAGUGCUAUCAGGCCAGAGGCCCCUCGGAUCAAAUAUCGAAAUCGUAGUGGAUUAGGAGCACGCGGUAACAAGCAGAGACUCACGAAAGAUGUGACCCCGUUGCCCCGUCUCGAGGACUUGCGGCAAGGGCUAGGAAUGCCCGGCCACGCCUCGUAAUUAUCUCGCGGGCACCCUCCAGGUCAACCCGACUCCACAUUACUCGCAAUUAAGCUCGCGCGGGCACCCCUCAGGGCCAACCCGUCUUUAGUAACAUGAUUCAGUGUAAAGUCAUAGUAACCAUAGUAACUGUGUGUCCAAACAUCAAGGGGAAAACCCGAGGAAUCACCCCCGGCGAAUUCCACUCGAUGUAAUCAUCAAGGUGAACGUAAGAGGGACCACCCUCGAGGUUCACACUUGAGGGGUUGCACGACAGAGUCGUAUCGGAAGUGGUUAAGGAGGAAAUCACCCUGGAUGACCACGAUCGAAUAGCUACACUACAGGGUUAACAUCAGAAGUGGUGAAGAGGUCUCACCCUCGGCACUCGAUAAUAACCGGGUAGUGUCGAGCAACUAAGGGGGAAAGUGAUGUGUGGUGUCGGGGCCUGGUCUUCGAUCCCGUUGAUUGGGUCUUCGAUGAUGAAGCAGGGGCAACAAGGACAAGGUGGGGGUCACUGAUGGAUCACUAACCAACCUAUACUAAGCAGUUUAGGAUAACCAGGUAAGGUAUAAAAGCAGGUUACAACAACAGGCUAUGCAUCAGAGUAGGAUCAUACAAAAAGCAGUAGCAGUUCUAAUGCAAGCAUGAGAGGGAAAGAAAUGGGCGAUAUCGAAAUGCUCAAGGGGGGUUUGCUUGCCUGGUUGCUCUGGCGAGGAGGGGGGUCGUCGUCGACGUAGUCGAUCACAAGGGC
Molecule: long non-coding RNA, 1970 nt
Filed under: Triticum aestivum (bread wheat)
Lineage: Eukaryota; Viridiplantae; Streptophyta; Magnoliopsida; Poales; Poaceae
Description: long non-coding RNA (TAES_LNC025324)
Source: RNAcentral